UAGAUUUUCCAUGCAUGUUUUUACCAGAUUAAGUAACACUUUAAAAAUAUACAUUUUCAGUAUCAGGAAAAUAUAAAAUAUAUGCGGGAAAAAGUGGCUUCUGAAGUGCAACUAAAAGGUUCUUCUGCCCAUUUCCAAUUCAUCAGCGUGGUUGUUGGUGAUCAUUUAUUGAAAUGAAUGUUUGAAUAAUGUUUAUACGUCUCAUCAUGACUCAAUGGUCAGGUAGUGCCUACACACAGGACGGCAGAAGGGUUUUGACUCCAUCUGUGCACGUGUCAGCCUUUGCUGAGACACAAACAACGUGCAUCACCGUACGUGUUGGUUUUAAGUGUGUUAAAGGGUGAAGGGUUGCACGUUGUUUCACAUCCAGCUGCGCUUAACAGGAGGCAUAACUCGUGAGGCAAAUCAGAAAAUUAGCCACGCUUCUUCAGAAUAAAGCUGCAUUUGUCUUCAGCUGGAAAUUUCCUCAGCCAACAAAUCCAGGCCUUGCGGUUUGCAGAGCUGAACGUGUCCAUCCCCACAACUUGCCGCUACGCCAACACAUAGAACCGCCCGCACAGGGCACGGCGGGCUCAUGGCGAGCACGGGGAGUGCAUUCCCCUCACCUGACGGGACGGACAUGGGCAUCUCGAAUCCCUUUGCCGUCCCCGCAGGCCGGGCCAAUCCCCACGCACGAACCGCCACCGCUCGCUGCCCGCCCGGCCGUAGCGCGGAGGCAGCGGCCGCAGGGGGCGGGCUGCAGCGCGGGGAGGCACCGCCUUCCCGCCCGCCCGGCACUGCGGGGCUGGAGGCUUAGGAGCCGGAGCGGUGGCGCUGCUCCUCCGGCGGGCGGGAGGAGAAGAAGUCAUCGUAGGUUUGGUGUCCUAGAAGUAUGGAAUCAAUCUCUAUGAUGGGAAGCCCUAAGAACCUCAAUGAAAGUUUUCUACCAAAUGUGGCCAAUGGCAUCAAGGAUGCCAGUAAGAUCACAGUAGGCAUCAUUGGAAGUGGAGACUUUGCAAAAUCAUUGACCAUUAGGCUGAUCAGAUGUGGAUACCAUGUGGUCGUAGGAAGCAGAAACCCUAAACUUGCUGCGGAGUUCUUUCCCCAUGUGGUUGACGUCACUCACCAUGAAGAUGCAGUAACAAAAACAAACAUCAUUUUUGUAGCUAUUCAUAGAGAACACUACACAUCUUUGUGGGACCUCAAGCAUUUACUCAUUGGUAAAAUUCUGGUUGAUGUCAGCAACAAUACAAGAGUAGACCAAUAUCCAGACUCCAAUGCAGAGUAUUUGGCAUCGCUUUUCCCAGAUUCCCUAAUUGUCAAAGGAUUCAAUGUUGUUUCAGCUUGGUCACUCCAGUUAGGACCAAAGGAUGCCAGCAGACAGGUCUAUAUAUGCAGUAACAAUGUUCAGGCUCGCCAUCAAGUUACUGAGCUUGCUCGUCAGCUCGGUUUUAUUCCUAUUGAUUUGGGGGCAUUGUCAUCUUCAAGAGAGAUCGAAAACUUACCUCUGCGACUCUUCACACUGUGGAAGGGGCCUGUGGUGAUUGCCAUUGGUCUGGCAACAUUUUUCUUCAUCUACUCCUUCAUCAGAGACGUAAUCCAUCCAUACGUGAGAAAUCAACAGAGUGACUUUUACAAGAUCCCCAUUGAGAUUGUGAACAAGACUCUACCAAUCAUUGCCAUCACUUUACUCUCUCUUGUCUAUUUAUCAGGACUUAUUGCAGCUGCUUAUCAGCUUUACUAUGGCACUAAGUACAGGCGAUUUCCACCUUGGCUGGAUAACUGGCUCCAGUGUCGAAAGCAGCUUGGACUGCUCAGUUUUUUCUUUGCAGUGGUGCAUGUGGCAUACAGCCUUUGCUUACCUAUGAGGAGAUCAGAGCGAUACUUGUUCCUCAAUAUGGCAUAUCAACAGGUUCAUGCAAAUGUUGAAAAUUCCUGGAACGAGGAAGAAGUGUGGCGAAUUGAGAUGUAUAUCUCCUUUGGAAUAAUGAGUCUUGGGUUGCUUUCUUUGCUGGCAGUAACUUCUAUCCCUUCAGUCAACAGUGCCUUAAACUGGAGGGAGUUCAGUUUUAUUCAGUCUACACUUGGAUACGUUGCUCUGCUCAUAAGUACUUUCCAUGUACUUAUUUAUGGAUGGAAAAGAGCUUUUGAAGAAGAAUAUUACCGAUUUUACACACCACCAAAUUUUGUUCUUGCCCUUGUUCUGCCUUCCAUUGUAAUUCUAGGACACAGAAAGACACUACGGUACUAUCAGUAUUUAUUCAAUCCACUUGUUAUUCAAAAAACAGCUGUGUCAAAAUUGAGACUGCUGAGCACAAAUAAGCUUGUCAGGUGGAGACAUUCUUUCGUAUUUGGUUGUACACAUGAGAAAGCAUUACUGUUUAAAUGAGAAAAACAGGUGAACCGCUUUGCAGUUAUUCACACUGGAAGUAUGUACACCUUUUGUUCCUAGAAGGCUUAUGCCAAUACAGGAGGAAAGAGGAAGAUAAUACAUAUGAGGUGAAACUCUGCUUCAUCAACAGUUCUGAAUUCAGAGAAAUCAAGGUGCACAAGUCAGUGAAGCCAUCACGAUUCACAUUACUUUCAUGUUAAGUUGCAUAGCUUUCCUAUACUCUCAAACAAAGCCAUUCCCUAGAAGCAACAGAAUUUAGAUAUGUUUAAAAAUCAAAAUAUUCUAUACCUAUUUGUGUCAUGCUAGUCAUAAAAAUAACUUUUUGGUCUUAGAGAUCUGUCUUUUCUGAGCUACUUUAAAAUCUUGCUGCGUUUCUGUACAUCACUGUGCUUGUUUGUCUGAGUGUUGAUACUAUAUUAGCAUCUGGGAACCCUGAAUUAUACCUUUGUCCAGCUAAAACUGUAGAGAAAUGUAAGUUCUGUCUACGGUGACUUACUUCAUUUCCUGUUAAUAACAGGUCAGGUGAAGAUCCCCAUCAAAUCCAUAGCACCUAGUGACCUAAACACUGCAUUGUGAUAGAUAGGCAGGAAGUCUGGUAGUACAGCACUGCACUUUCCUGUUGCCCUUCUUUUUCUCCAUCCUACUCAUCAAAACAAGAAACAAGAGUGAAAAAGAAGAUAAGAACCCAACCAGCUGAUUCUUAGAGUCUGGUUUCUGUACUGUAAGGAGCUUGGUGUCAUAUUUGAUACACAGCAUGGAUGCCUUUGAAAAAGCCGAGAGGUUCUGUACAGCCAAGGAAAGGACAUCACUUGGCUAUGGCAGAAGACCCCCUGAUGCAGUACAAGGAAAGGUGUAUCCUAUGCAGAAUACAUUAUUUCAUAAACUUGCAACUUAAUUUGUAAAAAAGCAAAUAAAGAUUGGGAGCAAAAAUAAUUCAGUCAGCAAAGUCAACGGGAGGUUGACGGAAGACCUAGGUACAAAACUUUAAUCGUCUAAUGCGCAGCUGUCCUACACAUUCCAAUACGCAGACAUGUGGUAACUGAAGUUUACCUCAAAUGAAAUUGCUGAAAUUUCACCACAAAACAAUGUCUUCAAUUAAAGCAGAAAUAUAAAUUGCUUACUUUUAAAAUAUAUUUUGCUAGCAUUUAUAAGGUUUGGUUUUUUUGCUAAACAUUUGUAAGUUGUUAACAAUUGUGAAUUAAUACUCUUAGAAGUAAAGCACUAUGGGCUUCAUGUCUCAAAUAUUAUUUGUUCCCAGUGGAAACAGUAGAUGUGAUAAAAAACAAUGUAAGCCUGUUGUUUGAGGUAGAAAACUGUUAAGCAAAUAUUUUCACAGUUGACUGCAGGCUUUUUAGAAUGGGCAUCUGCCAGUUUGCAGAGGGCAGCAGAAUCCUUUUAAGUCAAUCCAGAAUCCCUUUAAGUCAAACUUGUACAGUGUAGCUUCCAUCCAAAUUCUUCUUCAUUUAUGAAAAAGGUGCACAGUGAGCAAAUGAACAUUUGCAGUAUGAUCUUUGGAACACUCAGCCAACAAAUGACACGUGACCUAGGCUUAUAAUUUACAGACUAUGUUGCUCAAUUUAGACGCAUUCUCAUUAUGCUUGUCAUUCAAAGCAGCAGAGCUUAAAACCAUUUAAGCCACAAUAAAUAUAAAUUCUAACUUUUUCAUGAGCCUAAAAACAGUUGAGUGUAUACACCUUCAGUAGGUAUCUCAGUAUGAUGCAAAAAAAAUGUGUAAUUCAGUUUGUUCAGCACUAACUACUUACAGACCUGUAAGUAUUAUCAUUAUGAUUAACUUCAAAUAAUAAAUAAAUCUUGUUUCAUCCCUUGUAGGCCUAGAUAUUAGACUGCAGCUGAGAAUAUAUUCAAAAUAGCAAUUUUUUAAGUAAAACAUGGAAGGGCUAGUAAAAUGGAUAAAGGGAGUUGUGUGUAAAUGGAUGGAGAAGAAGCAUCAACCAGUAGAUCCAGGACUGGUAGCUGCGUUGUCACAUUAGGUGAAUGCACUGUCAUGUCCUACAGGUCCUGUCACCAUAUGUCACCCAUGUUGCUAUGAUUACAACUUGUGAGAUUUAGGAUGUCAAAGUAGUCACUGCAUUUUUCAAAUUAUCAUUCUAUGCUAUGUUGUGUUUUUGCUGUCAUUUUGAAGUUGUAUUCAGGGUAAACUGUUACAAAAUAUAGAGGGUACGUGAGGUAUUCACAGAAUCAUAUAGCUAGUUGGAAGGGAACCACAAGGAUCAUUGAGUCCAGCUCCUGGCUCCACCCUAAACCCUGGGCUGAGUAAACCCAGGGACCUCAGCUGCUCCACAUAUAUCUUGCCCUCUAGAACUUUCAGCAUCUUUGUAGCCUACCUUUGGACUCUUUGUAACAGUUUCAUGUCCUCCUUAUAUAGUAGCAUGCAAAUUGCACCCAAUGCUGGAGGUGAGGCCAUGCAACGCAGAGCAGAGCAGUGGGACAACCCCUUCCCUCGCCCACUUGCAGUGCAGGACCUGGUGCCCCCCAGGGUACGGUUGGCCCUUCUGGCUGCCAGGGCACACUGCUGCCUCAUGUUCUCAACCAGAAGCCCCCAUAUCCCUUUCUGUGGGGUUGCUCUCCAGCCUCUCGUCAUGUAGUCUGUACCUAUCUCCAGGGUUGCCCCAUCCCAGGUGCACAACUGGACACUUGCUCUUGUUAAACUUUAUGCAGUUGGUGAUUACUGGGCUCUCCAAUUUGCCAAUAUCUCUUUGCAAGGCCUCUUCUACCAUCAAAAGUCAACAGCUCCUCCCAACUUCACAGGAUCACUGAAUCACAGAACUGCAGGUAUUGAAAGGGACCAAUGGAGAUUAUCAAAUUCAACACUCAGCUAAAGAAGGUUCCCUACAGCAGGUUGCACAGGUAGGCGUCCAGAUGGAUCUUGAAUAUCUCCAUAGAAGGAGACUCCACAACAUAUCUGGGCAGCCU
RNA transcript from Numida meleagris (helmeted guineafowl), 5305 nucleotides. It is a transcript of the gene named STEAP2 metalloreductase, with no coding region annotated. The record is from RefSeq and is a predicted model, not a curated record. The transcript has 7 exons. NCBI's taxonomy places the organism in Eukaryota, Metazoa, Chordata, Aves, Galliformes, Numididae.